RNAcentral lists this ribosomal RNA (253 nucleotides) under uncultured bacterium. RNAcentral describes it as "partial 16S ribosomal RNA". It matches the Rfam family "Bacterial small subunit ribosomal RNA", at positions 524 to 776 of the family's 1533-position model. The record is from RNAcentral.
GACAGACGGUGCAAACGUUGUUCGGAAUUACUGGGCGUAAAGCGCGUGUAGGCUGCUUCGCAAGUCGGGUGUGAAAGCCCUGGGCUCAACCUAGGAAGUGCACUCGAAACUGCGAAGCUUGAGUCCUGGAGAGGAAGGCGGAAUUCUCGGUGUAGAGGUGAAAUUCGUAGAUAUCGAGAGGGACACCGGUGGCGAAGGCGGCCUUCUGGACAGUGACUGACGCUGAGACGCGAAAGCGUGGGGAGCAAACAGG